RNAcentral lists this ribosomal RNA (427 nucleotides) under uncultured bacterium. RNAcentral describes it as "bacterial SSU rRNA". It matches the Rfam family "Bacterial small subunit ribosomal RNA", at positions 355 to 796 of the family's 1533-position model. The record is from RNAcentral.
CCGAGAAUAUUCGACAAUGGACGAAAGUCUGAUCGAGCGACGCCGCGUGAUGGAUGAAGUGCUUCGGUACGUAAACAUCUUUUAUGUGGGACGAAAUUUUUGACGGUACCACAUGAAUAAGGGGCUACUAACUCUGUGCCAGCAGUAGCGGUAAUACAGAGGCCCCGAGCGUUAUCCGGAAUUAUUGGGCGUAAAGGGUGUCCAGGUGGCCAUGUUAGUCGUUUGUAAAAUCCGCGCGCUUAACGUGCGGCUCGCAAGCGAAACGGCAUGGCUCGAGGGCGCGAGAGGUGCAUGGAACUCACGGUGGAGGGGUGAAAUCCGUUGAUAUCGUGGGGAACACCAAAGGCGAAGGCAGUGCACUGGCGCGUUCCUGACACUCACACACGAAAGCCAGGGGAUCGAACGGGAUUAGAUACCCCCGUAGUCC